Molecule: long non-coding RNA, 541 nt
Filed under: Gallus gallus (chicken)
Lineage: Eukaryota; Metazoa; Chordata; Aves; Galliformes; Phasianidae
Source: RNAcentral
AGUCACUAAAUGCUGUUUUGAUGUCAGGUAUUGACAGACAAGUCUCUACAUCCUGCUUGUUAGCUAACACCAGAAUGGGAACUCCUUCCAGAGCUUCACUAGUAAUCAUCUUCUCAAAAGCUCUUUUAGAUUCUGAGAGCCUCUCCUCAUCAGUGGAGUCAAUAACAUAGAUGACUCCAUGAGAUUCAGCAUAAUACUUGUCCCACAGAGACUGGAGCUCCUCCUGGCCCCCGAGAUCCCAAAACAUUAGCCGAGUUUUGCCAACAUCAAUAGUACCAAUGUUUAAGCCUACAGUGGUUGUGAUUUUCGACAAACUCAUCCCUUUGUAGUUCUUGUUGAAUCGAGUUUUAGUCUGUUCAAGGAAGGUUGUUUUACCAGCAUUGUCCAAACCAAGGAUCAAGAUGCAGUACUCAUCCCUCUGGAACAUAUACUUGUAGAGUCCGGACAGCAGAGUAUACAUCCUGCUCCCGGUACCGGGAGCGCCCCCCGUCACCCAGCGCCGCCGCCGCGCUCCCUCACGGCACCGGCCGCCAGCGCCGUC